RNAcentral lists this ribosomal RNA (425 nucleotides) under Madascincus igneocaudatus (redtail skink). RNAcentral's name for it is "partial 16S ribosomal RNA". It matches the Rfam family "Bacterial large subunit ribosomal RNA", at positions 1969 to 2589 of the family's 2925-position model. The record is from RNAcentral. Lineage: Eukaryota; Metazoa; Chordata; Lepidosauria; Squamata; Scincidae.
UUGUCUUCUAAAUAAAGACCAGUAUGAACGGCUAAAUGAGGAUAGACCUGUCUCUUAAGACAAAUCAGUGAAACUGAUCUCCCAGUACAAAAGCUGGGAUAUACUCAUCAGACGAGAAGACCCUGUGGAGCUUUAAACCAACUAUUAACAAGCAUAAAAUUGCACCUAAUACUCGGUUUUGAGUUGGGGCGACUUCGGAACAAAACAGAACUUCCGAGCACAGAACCACAAAUUCUAACCGCGGCCAACAGGCCAAAGUUAAAACCACCAGACCCAGUACUACUGAUCAACGAACCAAGUUACCCCAGGGAUAACAGCGCAAUCUUCUUCAAGAGUCCCUAUCGACAAGAAGGUUUACGACCUCGAUGUUGGAUCAGGACACCCAAAUGGCGCAGCCGCUAUUAAAGGUUCGUUGUCCAACGAUU